AGUCGAGCGGACAGAUGGGAGCUUGCUCCCUGAUGUCAGCGGCGGACGGGUGAGUAACACGUGGGUAACCUGCCUGUAAGACUGGGAUAACUCCGGGAAACCGGGGCUAAUACCGGAUGCUUGAUUGAACCGCAUGGUUCAAUUAUAAAAGGUGGCUUUUACCUACCACUUACAGAUGGACCCGCGGCGCAUUACCUAGUUGGUGAGGUAACGGCUCACCAAGGCAACGAUGCGUACCCGACCUGAAAGGGUGAUCGGCCACACUGGGACUGAAACACGGCCCAAACUCCUACGGGAGGCAGCAGUAGGGAAUCUUCCGCAAUGGACAAAAGUCUGACGGAGCAACGCCGCGUGAGUGAUGAAGGUUUUCGGAUCGUAAAACUCUGUUGUUAGGGAAAAACAAGUACCGUUCGAAUAGGGCGGUACCUUGACGGUACCUAACCAAAAAGCCACGGCUAACUACGUGCCACCAGCCGCGGUAAUACGUAGGUGGCAAGCGUUGUCCGGAAUUAUUGGGCGUAAAGCGCGCGCAGGCGGUUUCUUAAGUCUGAUGUGAAAGCCCCCGGCUCAACCGGGGAGGGUCAUUGGAAACUGGGGAACUUGAGUGCAGAAAAGGAGAGUGGAAUUCCACGUGUAGCGGUGAAAUGCGUAGAGAUGUGGAGGAACACCAGUGGCGAAGGCGACUCUCUGGUCUGUAACUGACGCUGAGGCGCGAAAGCGUGGGGAGCGAACAGGAUUAGAUACCCUGGUAGUCCACGCCGUAAACGAUGAGUGCUAAGUGUUAGAGGGUUUCCGCCCUUUA
This 802-nucleotide ribosomal RNA is filed under the name Bacillus licheniformis. Its description in RNAcentral is "bacterial SSU rRNA". It matches the Rfam family "Bacterial small subunit ribosomal RNA", at positions 60 to 842 of the family's 1533-position model. The record is from RNAcentral. Lineage: Bacteria; Bacillati; Bacillota; Bacilli; Caryophanales; Bacillaceae.